UUUAUUAUUAUUUUUUUUGUUUUUUUCUGUGGAAUAAAAGUGCGGAAUUUAGAGAAGAAAGGCAUUCAGAUUAAAGAAGAGAGGAACUGAAAACAGUAUUGGCACAGAUUCCUUAGGAUGAUAUUUCCAAGGAAAAAUUACUUUUUAGUCCCUAUAUUUUAACAAAACUAACUAUUUGAUCCCUGUAUUUUGAAAAAUACACUAUAUAGUUCAUGUAUUUUGCUUCUGUUAAACUAUUAAGGCUCUCUGUUAAAUUUUCUGUUAGUUAAUGCAUGUCAAAUUAUUGUUUAUAUCUUUAUUUUAGUGAAAUUAAUUAGUUAGUUAGUCUUUAUAUUUUGAAAAAACACAUUAGUUAGUCUCUGU
Molecule: unclassified non-coding RNA, 363 nt
Filed under: Hevea brasiliensis (rubber tree)
Lineage: Eukaryota; Viridiplantae; Streptophyta; Magnoliopsida; Malpighiales; Euphorbiaceae
Source: RNAcentral